Molecule: long non-coding RNA, 309 nt
Filed under: Homo sapiens (human)
Lineage: Eukaryota; Metazoa; Chordata; Mammalia; Primates; Hominidae
Description: HSALNT0198482
Source: RNAcentral
GGCCGAGUUCGAGGCGGCAAAGGAAUUGUCUGCCAGGCUUCUGGAGGCACCUGGGCCGUGUGGGUUCACAGCGGUCAUCCAGGGAAUGGAUGGACAUGGUGAGUUUCUGAAGCACGGGCAUCACCCUUAGGGUAGGGGGAGGGCUCCAACACCAAGGCCCCCAGCACACAUUUCACAAGGAAAAAUGACCGUGUCGUGCCUGUGUUGGUAGGUGAUCAACUGUGCUUAACCGAGAAGGGAAUUUUCUCUAGUUAGAGGCCUCACAUUAAGCAUGCAUUGGCUUCAUCUGGAGUGUGCAGAACAGAAUCA